CCUUGGAGCUGAAUGAUACAUGAAACUAAGUAUACCUUAAUCUAUAAUUGAAUGAUAAUAAUUGAUGAUGAUGUGAUAGUGAAAUAUUGGUGUUAACUUUGGUUUGUUCUUUGUGAUGUUCAGGAGAUAGUGAUGUCACAGAAAAACCAGUAGACCCGAUUAAAGUUUACUCUGAGAGAUAUGCAGUUGUUCCUGAUGACAACGUCAAAAGGAUAAAUUUUGCCGAGGGGAAGAUCUGAUUCUAGAAGUAAGGAAUUUGCAGCUUGAUUUUUGAAAUAGGCUCAAAAUUGAGAUCUUGUUGGAAAUUUUUUAUUUUUUUAUUUUUUGUAAGAGCAUUUAAAUAUCCAAUGUGCUGAUUGGUGAAUUUUAGAUUUUAUUUUAUUAUUUUAUUUUUUUUAGGAUU
Non-coding RNA from Camellia sinensis, 403 nucleotides. The record is from RefSeq and is a predicted model, not a curated record. NCBI's taxonomy places the organism in Eukaryota, Viridiplantae, Streptophyta, Magnoliopsida, Ericales, Theaceae.